Molecule: long non-coding RNA, 6255 nt
Filed under: Gallus gallus (chicken)
Lineage: Eukaryota; Metazoa; Chordata; Aves; Galliformes; Phasianidae
Source: RNAcentral
GUUCAGUUUCACACAGCGUUAACUCAAGUGCGCCCGCUCUGCCAUUGUCUCCCGCACGACAGCCCGCCCGCGCUCGCUUUCCAUGACAAAGCUUUAGGGCGAAAUGAAUCGAGGGCCGAAGUCCGCCUUUGUCCGCCCUAAACAAACUCUCCCGCGGCCCCCCCCCCUCCUCCCCCCCGGCGGCAGCGCGGGGCCCUCCGGCGGCGGCGGGGCGGGGGGCAGCGCCGGGAGCCGCGGGGAGCCCCUCCUUCCCUCCCUUCCCCGCGAGGCGGGGGCCGUGCGGCGCGGGGCGGACUCGGUGCUGCCGGGGGCUUUCCCCGCACGGCCGCCGCCGCCGCCCCGCCUCAGGGCCGGCGCUCUCCCGCCCCGCCCGCCCCCGCGGCUCCCGGCGCGGAGGGGCUUCCCCUCGCCCUGCGGAGCCGCCGCGGCCCCGCGCUUCCCCUCCGCCCGUUCCGUUUCGUUCCGCGCCCCGCCCCGCCAAGGGUUAAGCCGCAGGGCCGGCCCGGCGAUGGCAGCCCUGUCAGACGGGAAACACCCGGCUGCCCCGACAGGGCCGUGGAGCGCGGCGGCGGCGGGGUGUGUGUGCGGGGGGGGGGGGAGGAGGUGCGCGGGGGGUGAGAUCCCCGCGCGGGUGAGGCGCGCCCGGCCCGGAGCUCCGGGCGUGGAGCCCGCUGACAGCGCGGCCGAGCCCCGCCGCCUCCCCGGGACGCGGCUCCGCGCCGCCCGAGCCCUCUCCCCUCCGCCCCGGGUCCUUAACCGAGCGGACGAGGCGGGAGGUGCGGGACGAGGCCCGGCCCGACCGCUCCCGGCCGGCGGAGCGGCCCCGUAGCCGGACUCGGGCGGCCGGCGGCACGGUCCGCGCUCCGCUCCGCGCACCCCGCGGCGCCCGCCCCGAGGAAAAGAAGCACGACGCCCCCCCCCCCCCCAACCCACCCCAAUGACACCGGAGCCCCGGGGAGGAAGGGGGGUGGGGGGGGGGCUUUGUGCGGGGAAUUGAAGGAAAAUUUACAAAACAAAACAAAAAAAAAUACAACGCGGAGAGAGAGAGAGAGAGACGGGGGCAGAGUGGCUCCUCCUCCUCCUCUCCAAAAAGGCCUGUUGGAAAACUGCACACGGCGGCGGCUCCAACGGCACCAUCGCCGCGCUCUGCCCUGGAGAGAAAAGGAGGCGAAAGGCACCGAGCGAGAGGGGGGGGACCGCGGCGAAAGGGGGGAAAAGGCCCGAUCUCUUUGUGUUACCUGCCGUGAAACCAGUCCUUGCAGGCAUCGCAUUCAAUCAUGAAGCGGGUUACGUCGUAGGGCAGCCUACAGAUGCAAUAGACGGGCACCGUCGCCAUGUUAGCUCCCUUCAAAACAACACCGGACUCGCGGAGAGGCGAGCGGGGCUGGCGGCGGCUCCUGCCGCUCGGUAGCUUUGGCGGCUGCUCCUUCCGAAACGCGAGCGAAUUUGCGAUGUCGAGAGACGGAGCGGGGAGGGGGAAAGGGGGGGGGAAAGAAGGGGGGAAAAAAAAAAAUCAGAUAAUGCAAUUACGGCUCCUCAAGGGCGAGCGAGCAAUGUCAGAAAAAUAAGAAAGGGCUUCGCAAAGUUUGGCUGCAUGGUUCCUCCGGCUCCGCGAGCGCCGACCGGACCGGGGCUUUUUUGUUGUUGUUGUUGUUAAAUGAUUAUUAUUCAAAAUGUUUGGCGAAAUGCAUUAUAUUGCAUGCCCCCUGGUGACAGUACAGUACCGAGGCUUUUCAUAAACACUCCGAAAUGUAGCCCUUUCCUUGUAAUGUCCUUACGUCAGCUUGCAACAUUGCAAUAUUUCCUCUGCCGGGGCUGGGGCUGGGGCGGGCGGCGGCGGAGGGGGAGGCGAAGCGAGGCGAGGCGAGGCGGCAGCUCCGCGCUCGGCGCCGGGGGCAGCGGGAGGGAGCCGCGGUUUGGAAGGCACCCCACCACCUCCAUCCGUGCCAGCCCCAUCGCUGUCGCACGCUGGGCUGCUACCCCGGAGCUGCAGAUGGGUGAGCGGCAGUGGCGAAGGCAGAAGAGGAACCCUUGAGUUUGAGCUGAGAUUGAGAACACAGAACUUCUCCCCCUCCCAUUGCACAGAGUCCAAAGAGCCCUCUGGGUGGUUUUGGAAGGCAUGCUUCAGGGCAUUCUGCUGGGACACAUCUGAGCAUCUUCAACAGCCGCUGACACAUGUCCCUUGCAAGUACGAGAACGUCACGUAAAGUAAUCACAAGGUGUCCCAGCUGAUGUGCAAGUGCCAGUUCCGACAGGUUUGGUGUCUUGAAUCCCUCUCAUUUUCAGAGGGAGGAUAAAAUCUAUCUGUCUUAAAGCAAGAAGAGAAAAACGGGCAUUUCUUGGUGUUUUUUCAGCAGUCUGCCAAAUCAGAAAUCACCCUGUAGCGGACAAAGGAAAUUCAAGGGCCCAAAUAACUUCAGGUUUCGCAAUGUCGAGAGACAGAGCAGAGAUGGGGGGAGGUGGAAAAAAACAGAUAAAGCAGUGCCAGAAAAAUAAGACGGGGCUUCCCAAAGUUUGGCUGCAUGGUUCCUCGGGCUCUGUGAGAGAGAAAGCCACUAUUGAUACAGGCAGAACCUGCCUAGGUCGACUGAAGAGAGACUGUCAAAACUGCUCGCCUUGCCCCCUGGAUUGAUGUGCCACAGAAGUGACUUUCAGGCAGCGCUCAUGAUGAACUACAUGUGAACUAGUGCUGGGAAUGGCAUUCCUGGGCCCACCAUGAAUGUUUACGAGUGAAACUGAAUUUCUGGCAUAGCUCAAGGUGUGGUAACACAGGACUGAGAUUAUAGGCCUACAUCAUGACUCAGUUGUUUUGAAUGACAUCUUGAGGCACACAAAAUGUCUGUUUUCCUCAGUGCUGAGUGGCAAAAGUAUAUACCUGUGAAAAACCUAGACCCCAUUUCAGCCUGAAUUCAACUACUGAGAUUUUAAUUACUCAGUGUUUCAACCAGAAAAGCAGAAGAACAAGUCUAGGGUGUUACGUGGGCUCACAUUGCACCGGGGGAGGUUCAGGUUGGAUGUUAGGAAAAACACUGCAAGAGUGGCUUGUGCUGAAUGGGCUGCGUCACCUGCAGGUGCUCAAGAAACAUGGAGACACGGCGCUGAAGAAUGUGGUUAGUGGGCAGUACUGGUGGUAGAUGGAUGGUUGAACUGGAUGAUUGUAGAGGUCUUUUCCAACCGUAACGAUCCUUUGAGUCUCUGAUAAUGCAGGAUGAGGAGACGAGGCCCAGACAACCACUGCAUGAGCUGUGAGCACCUUUGUAGUCCUCUCCUCACUGCCACACCUGUUGGAACCUUUGCAGGAGAGGUUUAAACGUGUUCGCUGAUUUUCAAUCAUGUGCUCUUGCAGUGGUUGUCUUUGCUACCACUUCUUGAGCUUUCCAGAUGUUCUUCUUAUCACUUUGAAGCAUUCUUCCUAUAUAUUUCCUCUACAGCAAGUGGUGCAUAAGCUUAUUUCUACUUACGGUGCUAUGUGGCUAUACACAUUGUCCCCAGAGUUAUUUCCGGACUAGUAAAGGUAAACCAAGUUAUCUUUUUUUUUCCCUUUGACCAUAUCUGCUCUUUAAAAAAAUGUUUACAAAGAAGCCGUCCAUGAAACCAACCUUGAAACAACAGGGAUCACUGGGCUUCAGCAGGAGGGGAGCUUGUGGGGACUGCAUGCCUCUUCCAGAGUUCCCCAUCUGACACCAGAUCCUAUGACACUGAUCGGUCAGAUCUCGCAGAACACCGUACUGUGCUGUCUUGGUUUCUGAACCAAGGCAAGGAACUGAACAAUUGAAACUGCAAAAGGGGGCUGGGAUAAAAGGGCCUUUCAUAUAGCAAAUUAGCUGAAAGGUUUAGUUAAAGAAUGGACUUUGGAACAGCUAACACAGAUCGCAUUUAUCACUCCAUACCUGCGCUUUCCCACUUAAACACUCUUCUUUUGCUUCAUUUCAGCACACAGUCUCACACACACAGAACCUUGACAUGAGGAAGCAACUUUAUUGGACAUCAGCAUCGUUCUGACAGCAGUGCUCUGUCUUCAGCGUGGGUCACCACAGGCUGGCAGGGUACGUGAAACCUGAACGCUGACCAACCUACAGAGGUCAAUAAAAACUUACCAGUUUCUCUUAUGAGAUUUUAAAGUCUCAGAUGCAUUUCUUGGAGGACAAAGCUCCAAUAGUUUGGGAAGUUCCUCACAGUCCGUCUUCUCCUGCCCUGUUUCCCAGUGCUGCUGUGCCGCAGCGGUAAGCGAGCAGGGACUCCUCCUCACUGCCCAGGAUGAGCCCAGGAAGGGCAGCAGGGGUGGGGUGUAGAGCAGCAGGAUGGCUGCCACGUUUUGCCAAGCCCAGCGACAGGAGUGAGUGGUUUGGUGAGAAAAUAUUUGCACUGAACGUGGUCCUCACGUUCGGAGCCCAGGAGGCGUCGUGCCAGCUACGCCUUCUCGCUCCUCACAGCAAACUUAACCUCCAGGAGGGUACUUAAAGACGGAGUAAGUGAAAACAGAGUGAAGGAGCACAGCAGGCCUGUUUGGGCCGAGCUCAUGGAGCCUCGCAGUGAGGCCUCGUGGCUCAGCUCCGCUUUGUCUCAUGCUGUGGCAGCAGGCCGUGUCAGCGGCCCAGGGCCGGGCUGCCUGCCAGCGCCUUCACCGGGCUGCGGCCUUCAUUUGCUGCAUCUGGGUUACGCUCACUCGUGAACAAAAGCACACAGCUUGGUGCUCCCGCACAGCCCUCCCUCCUUCCUGCACCCCCGGCCACUGCCUGCUUCCCAGGGCCUGCCCGCAGUGUGCUCCUCUUCUCUCUGCAAGCAGCCAGCACGGUUGGGUGCUACACAGAGGUGCUUUCUGGAAGUGAUGUUGGUCGCAGUCGCUCAGGUCUUGCGGCCAGAGUGGAGCCUCGUGCAAAAUGUCCACCAACGCAUUUAAACCAUUUGUGAACAAGAUUUCGUAACGUGGCAGUCGGGCUCCUAUUCUGUUGUUAUCACUCAAAGCACGUUGCUGUGUGAGAGCUGCCUUCUGCCUCCAUCCAUUGCAGCACCAGGGCCCAAGGAAGGGCUGCGGUGAAGACUUGAAUCUCCUCCUUCAUGUUGGAGUUCUUUCACCCGGGCUUACAAGCUGCAUGACCCAACUGAUCCAGAACGACAGCGCACAGCAUUCUGAGCUAAUACGGCUCCUGAAAGCAGCAAGGAGCUGUUUGUCACCAGUAAACCAGAAGUUUGCAAAGAGAGUUUUGGAAUGUUUGUCACUUUUCUGUUUCGAUUCGCUGGCAAUUUGCUUCUGUGGUAAAGCAGAAGGUAGCACCUUAAAUAAAUUGAUCUGGAUGAGGGAAUUUGAUCUGGAUGAGAGGAUUGAGUGCAUCCUCAGUAAGUUGGCAGAUGACACCAGGUUGGUGUAAGUGUUGAUCUGCCUGAGGGCAAGAAAGCCCGGGACAGAAUGCAUCGCUGGGCUGGGGCCAAUGGGAUGAAGUUCAACAAGAACAAGUGCUGGGUCCUGCAUUUGGCCACAACUCCAGGCAAUGCUACAGGCUUGGGGCAGUGGCUGUCAGGCUGACCCAGCACUGGGCUCUCACUGUGUUGGGGCCAGUCCCCUCCUCCCUCAUAGUCAGGCAGUUGGAGCUGAGAGGAAAGGCCUCGGCUGCUUCAGAGGGCUGUGCCAUAGGCUGGGCCAGGUGCAGCAGUACGCUGCAGCUCCAGCACAGUGCUCUGUCGCAGGACCUGACACCAAUGCAGCCCUGCCUGGGGCAUGGAUAGCAAAAUGCUGUCUGUAGGGAAGCUGGCAGGUCUGACAAUCAGUGUCUUUAUUCCUAUCAGAUUCCACUCCGGAAAUAGCAAGGCUCACUUCUUAUAGGGCAGGUUGGUGUGCGUAAGGAAUAACAAACCAUCCACUCUUUGGCACCUGUUCCAGAAGCUGCAUGCACAGGGUGAUGGCAAGGAGCUGGAUUCAGCAGCUUGGAUGUGGUGGGGAUGGGACCUGGAGCAGCAGCAUCACACCCUCCAAUUACAAAAGUGACCCUUAAGGGGCACAGCUCCCAGGAGCACAGUGAACAGUGUGUGUGGCAUGUCAGCUUGCAUGGCAGUUCCUGCACGCAGGGUGAGCUGGGGGGCAGAGCAUCCCUCCCUACUUGGGAGACUGGCUUACCCAGCGACUGCCUCCUGGAGAAUACAUCUAGCCAUGGCUUCCAUGAGGCAAAAAGCUCUCUCCAAAACGAAUGCAGUGACCCAGAUCGAGUGCCUGCCCAAAAAUGUGGCUGUCCAGAUUUCUGGCCGCACGGAGUGCCCGAG